GAUGAAGAACGCAGCGAAAUGCGAUACGUAAUGUGAAUUGCAGAAUUCAGUGAAUCAUCGAAUCUUUGAACGCACAUUGCGCCCCUUGGUAUUCCGAGGGGCAUGCCCGUUCGAGCGUCAUUAUACCCCUCAAGCCUAGCUUGGUGUUGGGGCCUGCUGUUACCGGCAGCCCUUAAAAUCAGUGGCGGUGCCAUCUGGCUCUAAGCGUAGUAAUACUUCUCGCUACAGGGUCCCGGUGGAUGCUUGCCAUCAACCCCUAAUUUUCUAUGGUUGACCUCGGAUCGGGUAGGGAUACCCGCUGAACUUAAGCAUAUCAAUAAGCGGAGGA
This 328-nucleotide unclassified non-coding RNA is filed under the name soil metagenome. Its description in RNAcentral is "partial contains 5.8S ribosomal RNA, internal transcribed spacer 2, and large subunit ribosomal RNA". The stretch from base 1 to 120 matches the Rfam family "5.8S ribosomal RNA", at positions 35 to 154 of the family's 154-position model. The record is from RNAcentral.